RNAcentral lists this ribosomal RNA (550 nucleotides) under uncultured bacterium. RNAcentral describes it as "bacterial SSU rRNA". It matches the Rfam family "Bacterial small subunit ribosomal RNA", at positions 361 to 916 of the family's 1533-position model. The record is from RNAcentral.
CGCUUGUGGCCGGAAGCCUGACCAGCCAUGCCGCGUGCAGGAAGACGGCCCUAAGGGAUGUAAACUGCUUUUGGGGAGGAGGAAAGGUACUGACUCGUACAGUGCUGGCCGGACCCUUAGGAACAAGCACCGGCUAACUCCGUGCCAGCAGCCGCGGUAUUCCGGAGGGUGCAGGCGUUAUCCGGAUUCAUUAGGUUUAAAGGGGGCGUAGGCGGUCUGUCAGGUCAAAGGUGAAAGUACCUGGUUCACCCAUGUAUUUGCCUUUGAAACUGAUAGACUGAAUAUAACAGGAUGCAGGGAGAAUGUAUGGAGUAGCGGUGAAAUGCAUAAAUACCAUACAAAACCCCGAUUGCACAGGCAGCUUGCAAGAGUUUAUCUGACGUUAAUUCACGAAAGCUUGGGUAGCGAACAGGAUUAGAUACCCUGGUAGCCCAGGCAUUAAACGAUGAUCACUGGUUGUGUGCAAUAUAUUGUAAGCGACUGACCGAACGCAUUAAUUGAUCCCCCUGGGGAGUACGUUCGCAAGUAUGAAACUCAAAGGAUUUGACGG